This 497-nucleotide ribosomal RNA is filed under the name uncultured bacterium. RNAcentral's name for it is "bacterial SSU rRNA". It matches the Rfam family "Bacterial small subunit ribosomal RNA", at positions 29 to 525 of the family's 1533-position model. The record is from RNAcentral.
AAUAAACGCUGGCGGCGUGCCUAACACAUGCAAGUCGAGCGAGAAAGCUCCUUCGGGAGUUAGUAAAGCGGCGAACGGGUGAGCAACACGUGAGAAUCUACCCUUUAGUGAAGAAUACCCUCGAGAAAUCGAGGCUAAUACUGCAUACGUCCCUUCGGGGAGAAAGAUGGCCUCUUUGCUAUCGCUAAAGGAUGAGCUUGCGUACUAUUAGCUAGUUGGCGGGGUAAAGGCCCACCAAGGCAAUGAUGGUUAACCGGCCUGAGAGGGUGUACGGUCACACUGGAACUUAGACACGGUCCAGACUCCUACGGGAGGCAGCAGUGAGGAAUCUUGCGCAAUGGGCGAAAGCCUGACGCAGCGACGCCGCGUGGAGGAUGACGGUUUUCGGAUUGUAACUCCUGUUAAGCGGGAGAAAGCCUUGUUUCUAAUACAAGCAAGGUAUGACGGUACCGCUAGAGAAGCACCGGCUAACUUCGUGCCAGCAGCCGCGGUAAGGA